This 120-nucleotide precursor RNA is filed under the name Mycoplasma capricolum. The stretch from base 11 to 83 matches the Rfam family "tRNA". Rfam says of the family: Transfer RNA (tRNA) molecules are approximately 80 nucleotides in length. Their secondary structure includes four short double-helical elements and three loops (D, anti-codon, and T loops). Lineage: Bacteria; Bacillati; Mycoplasmatota; Mollicutes; Mycoplasmatales; Mycoplasmataceae. The record is from RNAcentral.
UGAGUUUUAUAGGGGCAUAGUUCAGUAGGUAGAACAUCGGUCUUCAAAACCGAGUGUCACGAGUUCGAGUCUUGUUGCCCCUGCCAUUUUGAAAGCAAAUCACACUUUGUGUGAUUUUUU